Molecule: non-coding RNA, 95 nt
Filed under: uncultured Treponema sp.
Lineage: Bacteria; Pseudomonadati; Spirochaetota; Spirochaetia; Treponematales; Treponemataceae
Description: TPP riboswitch (THI element)
Rfam family: TPP riboswitch aptamer (THI element)
About the family: Vitamin B(1) in its active form thiamin pyrophosphate (TPP) is an essential coenzyme that is synthesised by coupling of pyrimidine and thiazole moieties in bacteria. The previously detected thiamin-regulatory element, thi box was extended, resulting in a new, highly conserved RNA secondary structure, the THI element, which is widely distributed in eubacteria and also occurs in some archaea.
Source: RNAcentral
UAUAUGGGGUGCUGAUGGAAUCGGCUGAGAUAAGGUUUAUGAACCUUGACCUGGAACCUGAUUUGGAUAAUGCCAACGUAGGGAUAUGAUUCUGU